UAACUCCUCAUCAUGCAUGAACUGGAGGAUCUCUGUACCUUAGAAGUUGAGCUGUGCAGAGCCCAACUCAGCUGUAAGCAAAGUCAAGGAAUCUCAUGGGGUACAUCUUAAACUGCAGAACCCAGGAGCGCUUCCACCGUGCUCCCAAGUCUAGACACACAUCUUUUGGGUGUGCACCAACUUCUCUUGCCUCACCCACUUCUCCACUCUCUGGUUUCAUGGGAAAUAAACUCAGGCCAAAAGACAAGCAUGACACAUUCCUCCAGAGCCUCAAGCAAAGAAAAGGAGCCAUGCAAUGCCCCCACUUUCAGACUGACCUCUGGCAAUCCUAUGUCCUGAUGGAAUAACAACAUCAUGUGCUCACGUCCAAACACCUGACAUGCACCGAUUUUCCAAAAGUAAAAGUAUGUGGCAAGGGAAUCUGGCCCUCCAUCAAACCCUAUUGCUUCUAUCUUUUGGAGAGAUGACAAACUUCUAUUGACAGAAGGAGAAUUGAAACAAGUCCUUUCCAAUUUGCAGUUUCACACUUUUACAGGAAUAUGCUAACCAGAGUUUGCUGAAAAUAAAAUGGAAAGUGAUGCGGAAGCUCAAGGAACUUCACGUGCUAUAUUCAAAGCCAGACUGUGAGCGGAUUUCUUGAAAUACCAAAUUUAAACUGUAAAGAAGCUGUCAGAAUGCAUCACAUAUGAACACAGAAGGAUGUUACAGGCUGCAGGGAGAUGAAUAUCUAUGAUAAGGAAAACAACUCAACUGGCAUGUGGAGGAACGCUUGAAGCCUCCUUUGUUAUGACUACAGUGAAAAUACACAUCUAUUUUUCCUAGGAUAACAAAGUGUUCAUUCUAGAUCCUGCUUGGAGCUGUUGGGCAUUUACAGCGUGUUAUUAGCAACUGUACAAAUGUCUCGUGUUUUUGAAAAAUCAAAGGAAUUAGUGAGUAAGGAGAAUUAAUACCUUUCCUGUAGCCUUGCCCCAGGAUUUGCUUAGGUGUUUUCCUUUAAGGAGUCCCUGAAUAAAAAAUGUAAUCUAUGCUGGAAUCAAGGCCUGGCGCCUGAGACCUCCAUCUUGCAGGGGAGCACCUCUAUAAUUAAGAUACAAAGUUGUGGCUCCUGUUGUUGCUCGGGGUCUUGUUGGCUAGCUGAUUCUUCUGUGCUUUUUUGCCCAGUGGGCCCUGCUGCAGGAGGGAAGGCUCGUGCUGCAUGGCCUCUUAGCUCCUGCAUAAGGAGCUCUUCUUCGAGAAGAAGGGAGCUUCAGGCUUGAACGGUAU
Molecule: long non-coding RNA, 1263 nt
Organism: Oxyura jamaicensis (ruddy duck)
Lineage: Eukaryota; Metazoa; Chordata; Aves; Anseriformes; Anatidae
Exons: 3
Source: RefSeq, a predicted model, not a curated record